ACGUAGGUGGCAAGCGUUGUCCGGAAUUACUGGGUGUAAAGGGAGCGCAGGCGGGGCGACAAGUCAGCUGUGAAAACUAACGGCUUAACCCUUAGAAUGCAGGUGAAACUGUUUAUCUUGAGUGGAGUUGAGGUAGACAGAAUUCCUAGUGUAGCGGUGAAAUGCGUAGAGAUUAGGAGGAACACCGAAGGCGAAGGCAGCCUACUGGGCCCUAAUUGACGCUAAGCCGCGAAAGUGUGGGUAUCAAACAG
RNAcentral lists this ribosomal RNA (251 nucleotides) under uncultured prokaryote. Its description in RNAcentral is "partial 16S rRNA". It matches the Rfam family "Bacterial small subunit ribosomal RNA", at positions 525 to 775 of the family's 1533-position model. The record is from RNAcentral.